GAUUUUAUUGGCGUGCUGUUUCCUUUUAGAAUUGAUGCAGUUUGCCAGAGCUUCUAACACAGCAUCUGUAAAAAUAUCAGUACAAUAAUACUACCGUGUGAGUCCUGGAAGAACUUUAUUGUAUUUAAAACAAGAAACGUGUCCAGAUACAUUUCCUGUUCUCUGACCUCCAGUCCCGCAACACAACCUUGAACACAGAGCAACUGACUCAGCUGCUCUCUCUCCACACGGGGAAGAACUGCCUGCCUGCUGCUCACUGCAUCUCUCUAUUUCCUUACAUACCUGUCAGCACCCACAGCUCUCUUUCCAGACUAUCUUCCUUUGGCUUAUAUUUAGACUUUGAAGAGUGGAUGGUUCUUAAUCUGACAGCUAUCAGAGAAGGUAGAACCUCUGACAAAUAGUAUCCUCGUUGCAUUUUCCAGGAUUUUUGUUGCUUUGCUUUUCUGCCCCUGUUACAUCUUCCAUUUGAUGUAACUCUCUGUGCUGAGGCAAAGUAAUUCUCCAUCAGCAAUGUGAGUAUGGAAUUUAUUUAAAACAUUAUAUAUGAUUUCCUGAUUUGUUAUAGGCUGUAAAUCUGGUGCUGUCCUACACUGCAUUCUUCAGUUCUUGUUUACUGAAAGAGCAUGGUUACUGUGAGUAUUCCAGCUUUCACUGCAAAAAGUGGGAAUUUCUACCUCUCCUUGUUACAAAGCAAAGCUUGAAAACAUGAUGUUGGCAACCUUAAACUCCUGAAAAUCUGGGAUUGAUGUAAUAUAAGAGAUGGGCUCAUGAUUUUUGUGAUUACACAUCACUUGAAGGGGGGGGAGGGGGGCAUUAAUUAUUUCUGACUGUUUGCAAGUGCAAAGUUUCCUCUUUGGGAAUGCUUUGUCAGUGAUGUCCUCAGACUGAUAAUAACAUCAUUUUGCUAUUAGCAUGUGUGAAUAUGAGCAGUCCUAUGAUCUAAUACAUUUCCUCUCCAGAUUUGGACUCUGAUCUUGCAAGCUGUAUGUUUUACCUGUGAAAAGUACUGCAGUGUUGACUAGUGUGCACAGGCAAGAAGCUCAUUUUACUCAUUACAAAAUCUGCCUUCAUAGAAAUCACAGUAUGUCCAAAUGCCCACGUUAUUAGCAGAAGAGGAUAUCAUGAUACAGAUUUCCCACCUGCUAACUGUUCUUUACUCCAAAAAGUCAAAGUAUGCACAACUUUCCUCGCCCUCCAUCUUGACGACCCACAGACACCGGCGUAGAAAUGAAAGGACGCCUCGAGCAGAAAAUCUGAGAGGCUGAUGCCUUUCCGUCGGUCCCGUUAGGUGGAGCUCUCAGACAAGGAGAAAUGACAUCCCACCAGGCACCCUGAGGAGUCGUUAGCACUGUAUUAUUCAGGUAUUUAUUUAUUUUUUUCCACGCCGAGAGCUUUCUCAUUUUGAAAAAGCUAAUUUCUGUCCUGCUAGAAAACUUACUGCAUGCUUUUAAAACCAGUGCGAUGCAGCAGCCCUGUCUGUACAACCUGUUUUUGUUAGCUUAACACAUCACUGAGAUGGAGCUGAAAACUUCAGAGAUGCUGUGUCACUGGGACAACAUCAGCAACGCGAAAGUCAGAGGAAUAGUUAUGGAAUUAAAGAAGCAGAGCAGAUAAAAACACUGGGUGCGGCACACAGAAGUCAGACAUUUCCAGCAAGAGCUCAGUUCUGUCCGUGGUAGUCAUCCACUGACAGCAAUGGUGCAGGGUUCAGUGGAAAAAUUAGCCAUGCAAACACGAAGGUGUAGUACAAAUUGAAACAGCGAAUCGUUUGCUAUGCGACUUUCUGCCACUUUCAGAUUGUAGUUGCUCUCUUAUCUUGAUUUUGUACCUGACAUAAAUUCCUACAAGGUACGGGGGUAGCCCUCCCUACUCCCACACAAGGAGAACAAAGGUAACCCUACACAGGUAUGAGACAGAAAAGUGAGUCCUACCAAAAAGUCGUGCAUUUUUCAAGGGUAUUGGCUCUCUUGCCAAAUGUUUGCUACGUGCAAUUGCUAAGCAAUGUCAAUAUUUUUGCUACAAAAGUGGGGGUAGUUGGAAAGAUAGGAAAGAGGAAGGAGAAGAUAAAGAACUGACAGAAAUUAGCAGAGAUCAUCCAGAUACAUAUGGAAGGAAAGAUUCAAACCAGUCUCUGCUCGACUCUACACCUUUUCUAAGAGAGACAAUUGAUUUAAUUUAAUCACUUCAACCAUGAUGAAAAUCUGCUAGCUUUAUCCUUUAUUAGGGCAGACAUGACACUCCUGUAAUAGAUUAUUUCAGUAAAGCUUAGCACAUCUCCUGCAUUUAUCCUUGAUACAAAAACAGAGUAAUUUCAUGAUCAGUACAGCACAAUGCUGUGAAGUGUUUCUGAAUAAAUGGUUGGUGUGUUUGAAUAUAGCCUGUCUAGCUCCAGUUUUGCAACAAAAACAAGUGCAGAUGCUUGAACAGCCUGAAAGCCUGCUCCAUUGUCAGACUUCUGAAAACCUGUACUCUUUUUCACACAAAGGAAACACCGUUUAGACUUCAUGCUAAAAUAAAUAAUACGCAGUGGCAGUGAGACCUGAGAACCAGCAGAUUCAUUUCUGUGUUGAAAUCAGUUGGCCAUAUUACUUGACAGACUCUGACUUUAUCCGGAUGCGCUUUCCCGAUGUAAGAAGACUUGCCCUACCAGUAAGGACUGGUGUGCUGUAAGAAGAGUCGCUCCCCAGCACUGGAGCUCUCUCCCUCACAUCCAUGUUCUUUGGCUCUAUGCAUUUCCCCAGAUAGAUAGACUUAAUUCUUGUCUCCAGUAAUUCAUUGAAAACUUGAUGCUAACGUAAGAAAGGUGUCACAGGUGAUCUUUCCUUCUUGACGUGAUAUCAUGAGCCAGGAUUGUUUUGGCUGCACUGGGCAACACAUACCAAUCGCAGUGGCUGUAGUUUCCACCAACCAGUUCAGGUGCAGGCACAAAAAGCCAGAGCUUCAGGAGCAUUUCUAAUUCUUCACUUCCCCUCUCCUGCCUUUGGGAUGGCCUUAAUGUCUGCAGGGUGUACAGACGGUUUUCCCUUCAAGCUCUCCUCUGUGGUCUGUUCAGCUUUCAAAUGACAGUGUGUAUCUGUGGUACUGAUAUGCUCUGUUCUCUGUCAUGACUUCUGCUUACCCUGAGACCCCUGACUGCAACAGAGGGAGUUCCUAUAGUCCCCGUUUCAUGGCUUCAGGCUAAGAGACUUCUUUAGCACUAUCCAGGUAACCUGUGACAGAUCAGGAGACUAAAUCUGAUUCCAGUCCAGAGCUCCAACCAUUGAACGUACUAUGCUGCAUUACACAAAUAGAUGAGUGUGGGUCCUAUUUAAGAAGAAAAAAGGGGAUGAAGGUUAUGGUAGCCUUACCCCAUUUGCCCAGGUUUCAAAGACAAGCAAGAAAAAGGGUCAAGACAGUGGAAGCUUGAAGCAUUUGAUGCCUCAUGGUGAGCCCCUGAUAAGUCCUGCAGGCAGACAAGGCAGCUGGUAAGGCACAUUAAGCAAAGCAUCACAGAAGCGUCACUCUAAUUUUCCCAGUGUAAACAAAAAAGCUCUCUCCAAAUGUGAAAUUUCUGCAUCGAGAACUUCAGUUUUUAAGAGUGUUUUUCUUUGGAUUUUUUUUUUUUCUGUCAGAAAAUUCUUAGUUAUGCACUACAUGCCCCCCUAAUUCCCACUCCAGCUUCCCACUGUCCAUGCCUCUGAAUGAGCGAGAACAGUCUGUCAUCCAUGAUUCAAUAUUUCAGGAAAGCUGAGAGUGGUUAUAAGACAGAAAAUCAAUCUUAACUAGUGAGAUUUCCAUAAAGUUCAAUUAAAAGUGUCAAGCUAUUGUGACUAGAUUUGUCAAACCGUGGGUGACGAUCUUUGCAGUGCAGCACCGUUCUUGUCUGGAGAGGAAUGCAAGAGGGGAUCCCGGUUCCCAGACUGCUGCAGGCACACCACAUUUCUGGAUACAUCUCUGCCCCUUAAUCCUGCAUCCAGAACUGAGCAGCCUCCUGGAAAGGGAGAGUUUGAGGAGAAAGCCAAUGCAAAUGCUUGUGGCUCAGAAGGAAACUGGUAUGAACUUGAUAAGGAAAAUAAUAGCAUUCACACAACAACAGUCGAGAUCUGUUACUGAUUGUGCUGCACCACUCCUUUUCUUUCAUUCAUAUGAUUCAGAACUGGUGCUUUGAAGAGAAUAUAAAUACAUUCCUCUUGACUUCUUUGUCUGUCCUUUUGGAGAAGUGCUAAGCGCUGGUUCUGUGUAUCCCAGUAUGGUUUCUUUUUUAAUAUCUAUUUCAGAAAACACACCCCUACUGCAGCACAGUGCAGCCUAUAGCAAUGAAGAGGAAUAAUAACAAAAUCCUCAAAGACAGAUCAGGCAUUCUGUAUGCCGUACUUCGGUCAAACUCGAAUCUGAAGUGCUUCUAUAAAUCAUCAAAACCACAUUUUCUCCCUCUCUUGCAAUAGGUUAUGUGACAUUACAAAUUCCUGCUGGUAAUUAUGUAGGAAUACGCUCAGUUGGCUGAAUUCAUUAUACUUCUUAAAGUAGCACUCGUAUUUGCUCUGCAUAACUGCAGUCUCCCAUUCAUUUAGUAACAGUCUCCUCCUAUUAGCCAUCUCAUUUUAACAGUGGGUGUGGACAGCUCCGGAAGGUGGGUGCUUGGUGAUAGCUGCACCAUGUGGUGACAGUGGAGGCUCUCAGCCAAGUGACCUGCUCAAAACCUGGCAAUGCCACACAUUCCCUUAAGCGAGUGCUUCUGCCAUGACCAGAAGCAAUGGGGGCCCUGAGAAAAGACCACAAACGCCCUUCUACAGCACAAGGCAGGACUAAUAGUGUAUGGUCAGCAUCAACAGAACCGCAGGGCCUACUACAACAGGUAAUUAUCUGAUUCAUGGAGUUAAUUUCUUUUGGCUUGUCACUAUGACUUCCUACUGCACAGAAAGAGGAGAGAGAGUCAAAGAUAAACAUGUGCCUCUUACAAAAUGAAGAAUUCUAUAGGAGAAAGCCCAAAUACAAUUAAAAGAUAGCAGUAUGUAACAAUUAACCACGUCCAGCCUUUCCUCAUCAUUAGCAAAAUAUAGAUGGAAGACAGACCUAGCUCGCUCACAGCAGAAUAUAUUUGGCAUCACCUUUAAACUAUACACACAACAUAGCCUUCUAUUGAUCCCAUUGAUCUCUUUCACCUUAUAUAUCAGUUAUCAUUUUUUGAAAGGAUAUUUUUCUGUUGCUUAAAUAACAGCUUGAUUGCUGGAGCCAAUUUCCACCACAACAAAACUGUUUACCUCACUGUAUGAGUGAGUGGGGCUGUUAGUCCUGAAGGCUUGUUGUGUAGAUGCUGGCUAGAGAAAAAAUGAUUUCAGGUUGAGUGGAGCCCGUUCUAACCUCCAAUAUGCAAAUCUUUACUUCCUUGUUGGUUCUCUAAAGGUGCAGAAAAGAAGAGAAAGCUUCCUCCCCCAGCUCUGAUAUUGAAUUCACCUCUGAUUUUGAUUCCCAAUGAAGAUUUUUUUUCUUUCCAAAUGUGUGGCAUAAAGUAAAAUCUUGUACUUCUGUGCACAUAAAAAAUCCAUAAUGCAGGGUAUUGGUAGAAUGCUUGGGAACCACAACCAGAAUGAGUUAGAUUAGGUAGGAAGAGACGGAAAGGGAGGGAAAGGAAAGGGAAGAGAAAGGUCAUUGUAAUUGAUUAACUCAAGUCUCUCUUGUUGUACUAAAGGAGGAAGGACUGAUGAGCAUAUUUGAAAGGACUCAAAGAGAAAGCUCCUUAUUUAUGGAAUCCACCACUGUAGCAGUCAGAGGGAGAGGUCAUGAAAAUAUUGCUCUUUCAAAAUCCAAUGGAACCGUAGCUGAGCCAUAAUAAGUACCGGUGCAGAUGGGCAUAUGCCUAACAUAAGCUCUCCUCUGUCCUCUGAUCUGAAAGAUAAGCACUAAAAGUGCUAAUGGAAGGUUAGGCUGGAAAUACCUCCUCUCACCCUCCUUUUCUCUAACUUGCUUGCUGAGUUUAUUCCGUGUUUUCAAAUUCCUACAGAUAAAAUUGAAGAACAAAAAUGCAGCUGGGGUUCAUGCAAGUGGCAAUUUGAAGAGUACCUUUAUUCUCAAACAGCUUGACUUCUCUUGUCGGGGAGAGUAUCUGUCAAACCACACGUUUCUCCUUCCUGAGCUCAAAUAACAGGUGGCUGAAAUCUGAAAAGGGCUGAUUUUCAAGAACGUGUUGUAUUUAGCAAGUUAUAUUUACAACCAAAUAGCAAUGCAAUCAUGUCUACUCGCUGCUCCUCUGGGACAGAAUUAAGAAAUAUCACCCAAAUGUGAACAGCAGAUCCGUGAUACAGGCAGGAGUGGGACUGGUCCUUCUCAAGUCACAACUCCACUGUUUAACUACAGGGCCAUAAAACUUCCUUUCCUAGUCUGCUAGCAAUGCCACGAUCCACUCAGACAAAGAGUGAUAUCAAGAAUAAGUCCAUCUGGCAUCAGCCACAGCCCAUAUGAGAUGAAGAUCAACAGCCUGGGAAGAGGAGUGAACUCAGUGCCUAGGGCUGGGCAGUGCUAGCACAAGCUGUCUUCCCCCUUUGCUGAGGGGGGCUGUCAGGUUUGGAUCAGCAGCAGAUGCCCCAGGGGAUUCUGAAUAACCCUACAGGCAAACAGAAUGGGCCAUCAUCCUCUUUUGUCAUGAAAAGGUAGGAGAUUCACUUCUGCAGCUUCAAGAGAAAUUGGACCUGAAAACUGGAACUCCAGCAUCCCAGGAGGGUACCACUGACGUAAUGUAGCAUGACAAUACAUAACUCCCAUUGGCUUCCUGCGUUGGUGCUCACAAGUGUUCUACGCAGAAAGUCUUUUCUUCAGAACUGUGUUGUGCUGAGGACUGAAUUAAUCUGUUAUUUAAUGUGGCUACUGAGCUUUAUGUUCUGCAAAUUACCAUUACUUGAUAUUUCUUCUUGCUGUGAAUUUUUUUGUCGAGUUUGGACUUGGUGAUCCUUAUGGGUCCUUUCCAGUGUGGGUUAUUCUAUGAUUUUAUGAUUUCCAAACUGUAAAGAUUUAUACUUUCUCAUGUUGUUUGAUCGUUUGCUUUUAAUACAUCUCUUCAUCUGCUGAAUAAUGCAGGUAGAUUUUGGAUUUUCUCAUGACUUUGCCCCACCAAAGUAGCUAACUAGGGUGAAGUCCAUUAAUUGAUAUCACUCAAUUAAUUAUUCUGAGAACUCAGAACCUGGUUUCUGGCUCUGUCUUCUGAAAGGAAAAUCUGUGUUGUUUGUUUGAUUGCUCCUCAAGCUGCAUGUGCCUUCCCAGGCUUUGAAGCUAUGCCCAUCACUGCAGAACAUGAGAUGACUGAUAACGCCCUUCUCAUUCACAGAACAGACACUGUUCAGCAACAACAUGUUUUGGCCUAAAAAGUGGUGUUUGAGACCUGAUACGUAAUCUAUGAAUUCGUCCAAUCUGGUCAGUGCCCCUUGCUUUGGUGUUCUUAAGAUAUAGAUGCACAUCCACUCAGAAAAUCACUGCUGCCCCAGGCAGUGGCCAGGCCAUCUCUAUCAGCUCUUGGUCACUGGGAACGUUUCAAAGUUGCUCUGGAAACAGAAGGCUCUGAAACUACACAGUGUUAUUCCCAUGAACAACGCACUGCCCUACAGUUUGCUCUGUUCACAGCCAGCUACUCUUCUAUUAGACUCUUUUUUUUUAUUAUUAUUAUUUGCCCACAAAUUUUGUUAUACUUUCUUGUAAGCAGUCAAAAUUCAAGUUUUGUUGAAAUCAGCAAUAAAAAUUCUGAAGCAAAAAAUACCAAUAAAUCUAGUUAUUUAGCCAAUAAACAGAGGUAGGCUAAACUAGUAUGCUCUGAUCCCUGUGCAGCAGUGCCAAGCAGGUGGCCAUACACAAUUUAGCUCACUGACGAUUGCCUGCAGUGUGACCAACGCAUGGCAGUCCUUGGUGCAGACACAUCCAGGAGCAGCUGGCCGAGGGCAUUCCCUGGGUAUUUUGGGGCAUGGUCCUGGCACCUGUUCUCCAAUGAAUUGUUCUUUAUCACUUUAAUAAACCGGGAUAUACAUUCUUACAUUUUGGCUUCUAAAAUUCCCGUGAAACCACUGAAAGCUGAGCAUGCGGUGGAAGACUGUAUGUAGGAAUGUUCAGCUUCUGUUGGACAUUCUUGAUGGGAAUCUCCUUUAGUGAACACUGAGAUGUAUGAACAACAAGCCUUUCACCGAUACCCUGAAGUUGCAGGCAAAAGCCACUGUCUUAAAAAAGAAAGGGAUUAGGCUAGCUGGAUGUUUUGGUUGGUAAAGGAGUUGAAAAACAUUAUUUAUUUCAGCAUGAACUCACCGGACCUCUGCCCCUGUUUUCACUGCAGAGAGACACAGGAUGGAUUCAUUUUGAUUCUGUUCUCAGGCGAUGGUAAGAGGAUCGUCUCUGUUGAAUAGCCCUGACUGUUGUGACACCAAGUGUCCUCCACUAGCACAGAGCCCUGUUUGUUCCCCCAGCCCCAGCGACACGCUGGGUCAGACUCCCUCCAUUGGGGCUGCACGCAUUCGGCAGAUCUUUUCACCAUCAGUGGGGUUCAGGGGGGACGCAACGUGGCUGACACUGGGACUACAGACCCUGGGCAGCUGGGGAGCAAUGAUGGUGGGCCCAGCAGGGCAAUGCCCCCUCCUGCCAGUUUCCUUCUCUGAGCAACCUGUUCAUCGGGGUCCGUGUAGGUGUGCAAUGCUGUGUGACCGUGGAUUUUUGCACCCAACCUCUGUGCGCAUUGUUGACUGCAGUGGCACCACUGCUGCAGCACAUUUUCAAAGAGAACUGAAGAAAACAAAA
RNAcentral lists this long non-coding RNA (8745 nucleotides) under Gallus gallus (chicken). Lineage: Eukaryota; Metazoa; Chordata; Aves; Galliformes; Phasianidae. The record is from RNAcentral.